UAUUUAAGUCAGAAUGUAUAUAAUGAAAUUAGGAUGUUGCUUGGGUCUAGAAUUCUGCAAUUCUGCUUUAGUGCUCUGAUGCAGAGUAUAGAUUUAUGACAGCUGAGACCAAAAUGGCAGCUAUUGAGUCCUGCCAGGAGAUAAGAACUCUGGUGCAACAUUAGAAUGAAGCCCAGCUCCUCCUCACAGGCACCUCCACAGGCUGGUAAUGAGAGACUGUAUGGCAUUGAUGCUACACUUACCUUCAUAUAUGUGAGUAGGAGAGCCUACUACGUGCUAGGAACACUACCAUGUGUUUUCAGGAUGGUGACUGAGAGCAUGAGUUCAGGCAUGGGCUAAAUU
This 342-nucleotide long non-coding RNA is filed under the name Bos taurus (domestic cattle). Its description in RNAcentral is "long non-coding RNA NONBTAT007209". The record is from RNAcentral. Lineage: Eukaryota; Metazoa; Chordata; Mammalia; Artiodactyla; Bovidae.